Molecule: transfer RNA, 74 nt
Filed under: Marmota monax (woodchuck)
Lineage: Eukaryota; Metazoa; Chordata; Mammalia; Rodentia; Sciuridae
Description: tRNA.Glu
Rfam family: tRNA
About the family: Transfer RNA (tRNA) molecules are approximately 80 nucleotides in length. Their secondary structure includes four short double-helical elements and three loops (D, anti-codon, and T loops).
Source: RNAcentral
UGAGGAUAUAGCUCAGUUGGUAGAGUGCUUGCCUUUCAUGCACAAGGCCCUGGGUUCAAUUCCCAGUACCACAA